AACGAACGCUGGCGGCAUGCCUAACACAUGCAAGUCGAACGAAGGCUUCGGCCUUAGUGGCGCACGGGUGCGUAACGCGUGGGAAUCUGCCCUUUGGUUCGGAAUAACAGCUGGAAACGGCUGCUAAUACCGGAUGAUGACGAAAGUCCAAAGAUUUAUCGCCAGAGGAUGAGCCCGCGUUGGAUUAGGUAGUUGGUGGGGUAAAGGCCUACCAAGCCGACGAUCCAUAGCUGGUCUGAGAGGAUGAUCAGCCACACUGGGACUGAGACACGGCCCAGACUCGUACGGGAGGCAGCAGUAGGGAAUAUUGGACAAUGGGCGCAAGCCUGAUCAAGCAAUGCCGCGUGAGUGAUGAAGGCCCUAGGGUUGUAAAGCUCUUUUACCCGGGAAGAUAAUGACGGUACCGGGAGAAUAAGCCCCGGCUAACUCCGUG
Molecule: ribosomal RNA, 433 nt
Filed under: uncultured bacterium
Lineage: Bacteria
Description: partial 16S ribosomal RNA
Rfam family: Bacterial small subunit ribosomal RNA
Source: RNAcentral